RNAcentral lists this ribosomal RNA (492 nucleotides) under uncultured bacterium. Its description in RNAcentral is "partial 16S ribosomal RNA". It matches the Rfam family "Bacterial small subunit ribosomal RNA", at positions 29 to 507 of the family's 1533-position model. The record is from RNAcentral.
AGUGAACGCUGGCGGUAGGCCUAACACAUGCAAGUCGAACGGCAGCACAGUAAGAGCUUGCUCUUACGGGUGGCGAGUGGCGGACGGGUGAGGAAUACAUCGGAAUCUACUUUUUCGUGGGGGAUAACGUAGGGAAACUUACGCUAAUACCGCAUACGACCUACGGGUGAAAGCAGGGGAUCUUCGGACCUUGCGCGAUUGAAUGCGCCGAUGUCGGAUUAGCUAGUUGGCGGGGUAAAGGCCCACCAAGGCGGCGAUCCGUAGCUGGUCUGAGAGGAUGGGCAGCCACACUGGAACUGAGACACGGUCCAGACUCCUACGGGAGGCAGCAGUGGGGAAUAUUGGACAAUGGGCGCAAGCCUGAUCCAGCCAUACCGCGUGGGUGAAGAAGGCCUUCGGGUUGUAAAGCCCUUUUGUUGGGAAAGAAAAGCAGCAGGUUAAUACCCCGCUGUUCUGACGGUACCCAAAGAAUAAGCACCGGCUAACUUCGUG